RNAcentral lists this unclassified non-coding RNA (285 nucleotides) under Hevea brasiliensis (rubber tree). Lineage: Eukaryota; Viridiplantae; Streptophyta; Magnoliopsida; Malpighiales; Euphorbiaceae. The record is from RNAcentral.
UACCUCACAGGUCUUUAUGGAAUUCCCUGCUCCUCCCUUGUAAAAGCUCUGUGCAUCAAUCAGCACUCGAGAAAUUUUUGGUUUUCCACUGUGUUCGGCCAGCUGCAUCCCGUCGACCAUCCCAAGACACCCAAGAUUGUGUCGACCCUUGCACACGCAUUAACCACACUUUCCAGGUCCCCUUCAACAUGAAACAACAUGACAGCUAAUCCUCUUCCUCUAUCCAUCUCGGCCACGCAGGAACAAAUAGUGAUGCCUGCUGCUGCCAAUUCUGUUGUAACCUCG